This 2492-nucleotide ribosomal RNA is filed under the name Triticum aestivum (bread wheat). RNAcentral describes it as "partial small subunit ribosomal RNA". The record is from RNAcentral. Lineage: Eukaryota; Viridiplantae; Streptophyta; Magnoliopsida; Poales; Poaceae.
GUUUUUUGCUUCGGAUUUGUGCGUGCCACUGAGACUAGUCAAUCGGCUACCGGCGCGGCUGCGCUCCAAAACAAACACUCGACAGAGGAAGGGAAGGAGAGUCUAGCAGCCGGAAAAAAUGGUGUCCCGCGCUGGGUUCGCCUCCCUCCUCGGCGCCUCCUUCCUCCUGCUCCUGCGCAGCGCCGAGCCGCUCGGGUUCAACCACCGCCCGACGACCGCCGGCGACGAGCUCUCGGCCGCCCCGAGCAGAUACCUGACGCGGGAGGAGCGCUGGAUGAGCCAGCGCCUCGACCACUUCUCCCCCACCGACCACCGCCAAUUCAAGCAGCGCUACUUCGAGUUCCUGGACUACCACGACGACCCUAACGGCCCGGUGUUCCUGCGCAUCUGCGGCGAGUCCUCCUGCGACGGCCUCCCCAACGACUACCUGGCCGUCAUCGCCAAGAAGUUCGGCGCGGCGGUGGUGACGCCGGAGCACCGGUACUACGGCAAGAGCUCCCCGUUCGACAGCCUCACCACCGACAACCUCAGGUUCCUCUCGUCCAAGCAGGCGCUCUUCGACCUCGCCGUCUUCCGCCAGUAUUACCAGGAAAAACUGAAUUCUCAGUACAACCGGAGCGCGGGGUUCGACAAUCCGUGGUUCGUCUUCGGGGUCUCCUACUCCGGGGCUCUCAGCGCAUGGUUCAGGCUCAAGUUCCCUCACCUGACAUGCGGAAGCCUCGCCAGCUCCGGGGUGGUUCUUGCUGUGUACAACUUCACUGAUUUCGACAAGCAGGUCGGAGAGUCGGCUGGCCCUCAGUGCAAAGCCGCCCUUCAGGAAAUAACUAGACUUGUCGACGAACAACUUCGGUCAGAUAGCCACUCGGUGAAGGCCUUGUUCGGAGCAGAUUCGUUGAAAAAUGACGGCGACUUCCUCUUUCUACUGGCAGAUGCAGCAGCCACAACAUUCCAGUAUGGGAAUCCUGAUGCCUUGUGCUCUCCUCUAGCAAAUGCGAAGAAAAAGGGGGAAAGUUUGGUGGAAACAUAUGCUCAUUUUGUGAAAGAUUACUUCAUUAAAAAAUUGGGGACUACAGUAUCUUCUUAUGAUCAAGAGUAUUUGAAGGAAACAACUCCCGAUGAUUCUAUUAUGUUUAAAUGAUGGCUCUACUUGUUUUCUUUUGGUGUGGAUUGGAAACUGUACUGACAUUGAAGAUCAUCGAGUGAAACACCAUGGCAUUUCUUGUUUGUUACUGACAGACAUGGCUGAAAUAUUUACUGUUCAUUUACCUUUUCUGUUAUUUUUUAGGUUCUAGACUUUGGUGGUUCCAAGUUUGCAGUGAAGUUGCCUAUUUUCAAGUCGCACCCAAAAAUGACAGUGUUCGUUCUGCGCAGGUCAAUACAAGGUACAAUUUGGACCUGUGUAAAAAUGUUUAUGGAGAAGGAGUUUAUCCUGAUGUGUUCAUGACAAACUUAUAUUAUGGAGGCACAAGUAUUGCCGCUUCUAAAAUUGUGUUUACAAAUGGCUCUCAAGAUCCAUGGCGUCAUGCCUCCAAACAGAAGUCAUCGGAAGACAUGCCAUCAUACAUAAUCAAAUGUAGCAACUGCGGACAUGGCACUGAUUUGAGAGGAUGUCCCCAGCUUCCUUUCAGGAUUGAAGGUGACUCUUCAAACUGCACGUCCCCAGAAGCUGUGAACACAGUAAGGAAGCAGAUCGUCAAGCACAUCGACCUGUGGCUAUCACAAUGCCAUGAACCAACAAGGGCGUGGUGAGGUGACGAUGACUCGUUCCUGUUUAGGAGGGGUAAAGGAAGCAGUAUGUAGAGGAAAGACCGAUUGCAAGUUUGCGACAUCGUUAUGCUGCAGAUCGAGUGAACCAUAUGCGGAUUGAGCAGCCAGUCCCCGGCCUGGAUGCGAUUGCGCGCAGGUCAUUUAUGACUCUCGGACAGUCAGAUGCAAUGCGUGCUUUUGAGACGGCCAGGUCCUCCGCAAGAGCUAAAGCUUCUCUCCACGCACACGCCUCCAGAGUAGCAGGUUCUGUCACACCUUGGAAUGCUACCGCGGACGCUCCCAGGAAUACGCCACGAUCACUUCGACAUACGACACCAACAGCAUUCGCUUGGGUAGUUCCUGUAUCUCCUGCAAGUUUUUUUUUUUAGUCUAAACACACUCGCUUUAUUGAUUAGUAAUGUUCAUAGGGAUACAAUUCAGGUCAUGGCGCCCCUGGUCCAGACAGCUUAACAAGGCUAUGGGCCUCUUGAUUCGAUACUCUCCCUUUAAAGAUGAAGACACAACUCUGAAAUUGAGUAGUAGUCGCUCUAAUCUCCUUCACAAUGCUCGCAUUCAUUCCUCCAUUGCCAAGAUUUAUGUCUUGAACAGCGUUUUUGCAGUCUGAAGCAAUCUCCACUGCAAGUAACGGCUAGUGAACAAGUAUACGGCUCAUGGGCUGAAGUUACCAAAAACUCAUGGGUUGAUAGGCCUCUCGAAAACAAAAACAAAAAGAGGAAAACACUGAG